AGUUCUGUUCAGAGUAUAAAAACACCACUGUCGGGUGAAAAUUACGUCAAAAUUUAAAGAAAAUGUAAUGUGCCGUGCAAAAUCCUAGCACAACCCCAAUAAAAUUGUACUUAAAGUUAAUUAUUUGAACGGUAAAUGUUGUUAAAAUAUGAUUUUACUUGCAAAAUUCAUCCAUUCGUGCAGUGAGGUAAAAUCAACGCUAAUCUCAUAUUUGUAAUUAGCGUUUUAUGAUGAAUUGAGAUUAGCUUUUAUAGCGUAUAAGUGAUAAUGACAUUUAAGUGCAAACGGUAGAAAAUAUAAAGCAGGAAAAAAUUCUUUCACUUCAUUAACCAGCAGGGGUCAACACAGACCUUCACCGAAAUACCCAUCAAAUUCUCAUGAAAUUGUGCAGCAUAAGUGGUUGGUUUUGUAGGCAACUAUUAGACUGCCGAUGAGGUUAACCAGAAAAAAUGUUAAUAAGAUGCCUUAAGGCUUUAGGAUGUUGCAGUGGAAGUUUCCUGCCAUCUGAACUCAGCAGUCGGCCUCUGGCAACCACAGAUAUGGCGAUGAGGGGACAAAUAUGGCACAGGUGAUAACUCAAAAUGGCCAGGGAGUUUCUUCAAAGCGUUUGCAGGGGUUAACAAAAAGAUGAGAGAAGGAAAACGGAGAAAAGAAGAGACGGCGCAAGAGAUACGGUGAUCCAGACUGUGAUAACCAUCUUGACUUAAACUGCAGGUGUGAAGUGAGAGGGAUGGCGGUAAAGACAAGACAGGUGGAGAGAGGGGACAAACCUGUCCACUCACUGCUUAGCUUUUACAUGUUAAGCAAUGCUGACUUUAUGUCUAAAUAGUCUGUAGACGUUGUGGUGUGUUUGUAUUAUGUACAUUUGUUUCAUUUAUUUAAAAAAAAUUGUGUGCAUGCAUAUGUGUGUGUGUGUGUGGAGGGGGAUGCAAUAUAGUA
Thunnus maccoyii (southern bluefin tuna) is the source of this 939-nucleotide long non-coding RNA. RefSeq lists it as uncharacterized. The transcript is spliced from 3 exons. Lineage: Eukaryota; Metazoa; Chordata; Actinopteri; Scombriformes; Scombridae. The record is from RefSeq and is a predicted model, not a curated record.